CAGGCUGCAACCCGCCCUGCAUGAAGUCGGAAUUGCUAGUAAUCGCGGAUCAGCAUGCCGCGGUGAAUACGUUCCCGGGCCUUGUACACACCGCCCGUCACACCAUGGGAGCCGGUCGCGCCUGAAGCCGGUGGCCUAUCAGUAAUGGGGGAGCCGUCUAUGGCGAGAUUGGUAACUGGGGUGAAGUCGUAACAAGGUAUC
RNAcentral lists this ribosomal RNA (201 nucleotides) under uncultured bacterium. RNAcentral describes it as "partial 16S ribosomal RNA". It matches the Rfam family "Bacterial small subunit ribosomal RNA", at positions 1301 to 1500 of the family's 1533-position model. The record is from RNAcentral.